This 405-nucleotide ribosomal RNA is filed under the name uncultured Sphingobacteriales bacterium. RNAcentral's name for it is "bacterial SSU rRNA". It matches the Rfam family "Bacterial small subunit ribosomal RNA", at positions 980 to 1382 of the family's 1533-position model. Lineage: Bacteria; Pseudomonadati; Bacteroidota; Sphingobacteriia; Sphingobacteriales. The record is from RNAcentral.
CUUAAAGUGGGAGUGACAGCUUGUACGAAAGUAUUGGUUUUCUUCGGACACUCUUCAAGGUGCUGCAUUGGUUUGUCGUCAGCUCGUGCCGUGAGGUGUCGGUUAAGUCCCAUAACGAGCGCAACCCUUACCGUUAGUUACCAUCAGGUUAAGCUGGGGACUCUAGCGGGACUGCCACCGUAAGGUGAGAGGAAGGUGGGGAUGACGUCAAAUCAGCACGGCCCUUAUGUCCAGGGCUACACACGUGUUACAAUGGCCAGUACAAAGGGCAGCUACCGGGUGACCGGAUGCUAAUCUCUAAAGCUGGUCUCAGUUCGGAUCGAAGUCUGCAACCCGACUUCGUGAAGCUGGAUUCGCUAGUAAUCGCGCAUCAGCCAUGGCGCGGUGAAUACGUUCCCGGGCCUU